AUUUUAAAUUAUUAUGUGGGUUUUCUUUUCCAUAUUUUUAACUUUUUUUUUUUAUAUUUUCCAGAAAAUCAUUUUCUCUCUUACCUCUUUGUCUUCUCCACCACCAUUGUUUCUCUUCACCUCUCUGUCUUCUCUUCACCAUUGUUCCAUCUUCACCAUUGUUUUCUCUCUUACCUCUUUGUCUUCUCCUCCACCAUUUCUCUUCACCGUUGUUCCAUCUUACCUGAAGAGGAGGCAUCGAUUUACGCCGUCGAAGCGAAAAGAGGAGCCUAUAAAACAUCGUGAGGUCCCGUCGUCCCUCUACGUCCUCUGACCCCUUUUCUUCGGACAGCCACCUCUGCCCUCUCCUCUGGGUUGGGUAACACUACAAUUGACCCGAGAUCCCACCUUUGCAAGAGGAUUCUUGUCUGCUAGAUCUGUCACUGGGUUUCUUUCAGAUGUUUAUUCUGUAGCUGCUGAUGAAGUUGGGAAAAUUUUUGUUAUUGCUGAUGAAAGGGCAGAUCUUAGCAAACCAGAGACAAUUCCUGUAACGUUGGUUGGCAUUCACACUGUUAUUGAUUGUGCCACAGGGCGCCCAGAAGAGCCUAUAAAGACGGUAGGAUAUAACUAAUAAUUUUCUCUACAGUAGUUUCAUAUUGAUUGGUUUUUGCAUUCUUUUUAUGCUAUAUUUCUUUUUUCCUAAAAACAAGUAGAGGAAUUCAUGUGUCAUUCAGCAAGCUCAGUAUAUAUCUUUAUGGUAAAGGUGCAAAUAUUGAUUCCAGACCUUUGCUAAGCAAUCAUUUUUCCCUUAAACUAAGCUCUUUAUUGUGUCUUCUUUA
Molecule: long non-coding RNA, 818 nt
Organism: Cannabis sativa
Lineage: Eukaryota; Viridiplantae; Streptophyta; Magnoliopsida; Rosales; Cannabaceae
Exons: 3
Source: RefSeq, a predicted model, not a curated record